GUGCCUUCUUCAGCAGCACAUAUACUAAAAUUAGAUGGACACAGAGAAGAUUAGCAUGGCCCCUGCACAAGGAUGGCAUGCACAUUCGUAAAGCAUUCCAUAUUUAA
This is a small nuclear RNA of Onychomys torridus (southern grasshopper mouse), 107 nucleotides long. Lineage: Eukaryota; Metazoa; Chordata; Mammalia; Rodentia; Cricetidae. The record is from RefSeq and is a predicted model, not a curated record.